GGGCACAUGGUGUAGUUGGUUAUCACAUCCGCUUAGCACUAUGAGCUUGCGGGGGGUGCUGGGUUCAAUUCCCAGUGUGUCCA
This 83-nucleotide transfer RNA is filed under the name Lentinula edodes (shiitake mushroom). RNAcentral's name for it is "tRNA-Ala". It matches the Rfam family "tRNA". Rfam says of the family: Transfer RNA (tRNA) molecules are approximately 80 nucleotides in length. The record is from RNAcentral. Lineage: Eukaryota; Fungi; Basidiomycota; Agaricomycetes; Agaricales; Omphalotaceae.